AAAAUGCGAUAAGUAAUGUGAAUUGCAGAAUUCAGUGAAUCAUCGAAUCUUUGAACGCACAUUGCGCCCGCCAGUACUCUGGCGGGCAUGCCUGUCUGAGCGUCAUUUCAACCCUCAGGGCCCGUCCGCGGGACCUGGCGUUGGGGAUCAGCCCACCCCCUCGGGGGGGCUGGCCCUGAAAUAUAGUGGCGGUCCUCUCGCGAUCUCCUCUGUGCAGUAGUUAAUACCUCGCAGCUGGAUAGCGGUUGGGCCACGCCGUAAAACCCCCCACUUCUCAAGGUUGACCUCAGAUCAGGUAGGAAUACCCGCUGAACUUAA
Molecule: unclassified non-coding RNA, 318 nt
Filed under: uncultured Acremonium
Lineage: Eukaryota; Fungi; Ascomycota
Description: sequence contains ITS1
Rfam family: 5.8S ribosomal RNA (bases 1-105)
Source: RNAcentral